Pelobates cultripes (western spadefoot toad) is the source of this 282-nucleotide non-coding RNA. NCBI's taxonomy places the organism in Eukaryota, Metazoa, Chordata, Amphibia, Anura, Pelobatidae. The record is from the annotation of a GenBank genome assembly.
GUACAUGCCUAAUUUUUCGGGCCUCUGGUGCUGCACUGUGGUUUCAAAAACCAAACCAAAAAAAAGGCACAUAACAGGGAUUAAACUGAUAAGAAUAAUACCACUUUACACACCUUAUAAUAACGCAGAGAGAGGCAACGCAGAGAGAGGAGUUUGAAGAAGAGGAGUCAGAGGAGGAAGGUGGCUUUGAGGAGGUGGAAGACCAAACACAGCAGGCGUCCCAGGGGGCUUGUUGUCACCUUUCGGGGACCCGUGGUGUUGUACGUGGCUGGGUGGAGGAAG